This 1057-nucleotide ribosomal RNA is filed under the name uncultured Acidobacteriota bacterium. RNAcentral's name for it is "bacterial SSU rRNA". It matches the Rfam family "Bacterial small subunit ribosomal RNA", at positions 438 to 1498 of the family's 1533-position model. The record is from RNAcentral. Lineage: Bacteria; Pseudomonadati; Acidobacteriota.
AACCGGGAAGAAUGCCUCGCAAGAGGAGUGACGGUACCGGUAUAAGAAGCCCCGGCUAACUACGUGCCAGCAGCCGCGGUAAUACGUAGGGGCCCAGCGUUGUUCGGAAUUACUGGGCGUAAAGGGUUCGUAGGCGGUGUGGCAAGUUGGGAGUGAAAUCUCUGGGCUUAACCCAGAGACUGCUUUCAAAACUGCCGUGCUGGAGUGUGGGAGAGGCGCGUGGAAUUGCAGGUGUAGCGGUGAAAUGCGUAGAUAUCUGCAGGAACACCCGUGGCGAAAGCGGCGCGCUGGACCACUACUGACGCUGAGGAACGAAAGCUAGGGGAGCAAACAGGAUUAGAUACCCUGGUAGUCCUAGCCCUAAACGAUCGGGACUUGGGGUGCCGCACGUUCGUGCGUCGUCCCGGAGCUAACGCGUUAAGUCCCGCGCCUGGGGAGUACGGUCGCAAGACUGAAACUCAAAGGAAUUGACGGGGGCCCGCACAAGCGGUGGAACAUGUGGUUCAAUUCGACGCUACGCGAGGAACCUUACCUGGGCUCGAAGCGCACUUGACAAUCUGUGGAAACACGGACUUCCCGCAAGGGACAAGUGUGGAGGCGCUGCAUGGCUGUCGUCAGCUCGUGCCGUGAGGUGUUGGGUUAAGUCCCGCAACGAGCGCAACCCCUGCACGUAGUUGCCACUCCGCAAGGAGGGAACUCUACGUGGACUGCUCCGGAUAACGGAGAGGAAGGUGGGGAUGACGUCAAGUCCGCAUGGCCUUUAUGUCCAGGGCUACACACGUGUUACAAUGCAGGGCACAAACCGUUGCCAACCCGCGAGGGGGAGCUAAUCGGAGAAAACUCUGCUCAGUUCGGAUUGCAGUCUGCAACUCGACUGCAUGAAGCUGGAAUCGCUAGUAAUGGCGUAUCAGAACGACGCCGUGAAUACGUUCCCGGGCCUUGUACACACCGCCCGUCACAUCACGAAAGUGGGCUGUACUAGAAGUCGCCGUGCCAACCGCAAGGAGGCAGGCGCCCAAGGUAUGACUCAUGAUUGGGGUGAAGUCGUAACAAGGUA